GUAGGUGAACCUGCGGAAGGAUCAUUGACAAAUCUAAAACAUAUUGUUGCUUGGAGGGGGGGGAGAGAGCUUUGCUGUUUUCCUUCUCUCUUCAAGUAUACAAACAUUCUAACCUGUGAAUUGGCAGUACGCAAGUACUGUUUUAUUGGUUGUGUGUGUGGCAUAUUAUGUGUGUGUGUGUGCAUCACAUUUGCUUGCUGAAUUGCAAGAGAAUGUGUGUGCAUAUAUUAUAUGAUGUGUGUACUCUGCUUCCAUUAAACAUUUACGUAAACAAUUGUCUUAACAAAAAAACAAAAACAAAAUACAACUUCUAGCAAUGGAUCUCUUGGCUUCU
RNAcentral lists this unclassified non-coding RNA (334 nucleotides) under rhizosphere metagenome. Its description in RNAcentral is "partial ribosomal RNA internal transcribed spacer region". The record is from RNAcentral.